UGGAGGGAUAAAGAUAAGACACAAGAAAGAAAGUGAGACUGCCAAUAAAGAGGCACAGCAAAGAGAAGUCCCUGACAAUCAGAUUCUAGAAAUUUGGGACAACAGAGAUUACAACUACUACUCUAAAACAACAUACCCUUUCCAUUCAAAGGCAGCCUCUCUCAGGAAAAUUUCAAGUAUGAGGAGAAAGAACAGAUACAAAACAUUUUAAAAUGAAAAGAUUGUAUCCACCCUUCUGGUUCACAGCCCUCACUUGAGCUACUCAAGGACAACGUUUCAUCCACAUUUGCACCUUGAAGCCUCUGGUUGGAGGAAGGCGGUCUUUUUCAUUACUUAAGAAUACACA
This is a long non-coding RNA of Lutra lutra (Eurasian river otter), 346 nucleotides long. RefSeq lists it as uncharacterized. The transcript is spliced from 3 exons. The record is from RefSeq and is a predicted model, not a curated record. NCBI's taxonomy places the organism in Eukaryota, Metazoa, Chordata, Mammalia, Carnivora, Mustelidae.